RNAcentral lists this ribosomal RNA (732 nucleotides) under uncultured Enterobacteriaceae bacterium. RNAcentral describes it as "SSU rRNA". It matches the Rfam family "Bacterial small subunit ribosomal RNA", at positions 89 to 817 of the family's 1533-position model. Lineage: Bacteria; Pseudomonadati; Pseudomonadota; Gammaproteobacteria; Enterobacterales; Enterobacteriaceae. The record is from RNAcentral.
UGACGAGCGGCGGACGGGUGAGUAAUGUCUGGGAAACUGCCUGAUGGAGGGGGAUAACUACUGGAAACGGUAGCUAAUACCGCAUAAUGUCGCAAGACCAAAGUGGGGGACCUUCGGGCCUCAUGCCAUCAGAUGUGCCCAGAUGGGAUUAGCUAGUAAGUGGGGUAACGGCUCACCUAGGCGACGAUCCCUAGCUGGUCUGAGAGGAUGACCAGCCACACUGGAACUGAGACACGGUCCAGACUCCUACGGGAGGCAGCAGUGGGGAAUAUUGCACAAUGGGCGCAAGCCUGAUGCAGCCAUGCCGCGUGUGUGAAGAAGGCCUUCGGGUUGUAAAGCACUUUCAGCGGGGAGGAAGGCGUUAAGGUUAAUAACCUUGGCGAUUGACGUUACCCGCAGAAGAAGCACCGGCUAACUCCGUGCCAGCAGCCGCGGUAAUACGGAGGGUGCAAGCGUUAAUCGGAAUUACUGGGCGUAAAGCGCACGCAGGCGGUCUGUCAAGUCGGAUGUGAAAUCCCCGGGCUCAACCUGGGAACUGCAUUCGAAACUGGCAGGCUAGAGUCUUGUAGAGGGGGGUAGAAUUCCAGGUGUAGCGGUGAAAUGCGUAGAGAUCUGGAGGAAUACCGGUGGCGAAGGCGGCCCCCUGGACAAAGACUGACGCUCAGGUGCGAAAGCGUGGGGAGCAAACAGGAUUAGAUAUCCUGGUAGUCCACGCCGUAAACGAUGUCGAUU